RNAcentral lists this ribosomal RNA (478 nucleotides) under uncultured bacterium. RNAcentral's name for it is "partial 16S ribosomal RNA". It matches the Rfam family "Bacterial small subunit ribosomal RNA", at positions 28 to 507 of the family's 1533-position model. The record is from RNAcentral.
GAUGAACGCUGGCGGCGUGCUUAACACAUGCCAGUCGAACGGGAAACCUUUUAUUUAAGCUUCGGCAGAUUUAGCUGGUUUCUAGUGGCGGACGGGUUAGUAACGCCUGGGUAACCUGCCUUCUACAGGGGGAUAACAACCAGACAUGGUUGCUAAUACCGCAUAAGCGCACAGGACCGCAUGGUCCGGUGGGAAAAACUCCGGUGGUAUAAUAUGGACCCGCGUUGGAUUAGCUAGUUGGCAGGGUAACGGCCUACCAAGGGGACGAUCCAUAGCCGGGCUGAGAGGGUGAACGGCCACGUUGGGACUGAGACACGGCCCAGACUCCUACGGGAGGCAGCAGUGGGUAAUAUUGCACAAUGGGGGAAAACCUGAUGCAGCGACGCCGGGGGAAGGAGGAAGUAUCUCGGGAUGUAAAUUUCUAUGAGCAGGGAAGAUAGUGACGGUACCUGACGAAGAAGCACCGGCUAACUACGUG